RNAcentral lists this ribosomal RNA (447 nucleotides) under uncultured bacterium. RNAcentral describes it as "partial 16S ribosomal RNA". It matches the Rfam family "Bacterial small subunit ribosomal RNA", at positions 29 to 523 of the family's 1533-position model. The record is from RNAcentral.
AACGAACGCUGGCGGCAGGCUUAACACAUGCAAGUCGAACGCCCCGCGAGGGGAGUGGCAGACGGGUGAGUAACGCGUGGGAACGUACCUUUCAGUUCGGAAUAACUCAGGGAAACUUGUGCUAAUACCGGAUGCGCCCGUAAGGGGAAAGAUUUAUCGCUGAAAGAUCGGCCCGCGUUGGAUUAGCUAGUUGGUGGGGUAAUGGCCUACCAAGGCGACGAUCCAUAGCUGGUCUGAGAGGAUGAUCAGCCACACUGGGACUGAGACACGGCCCAGACUCCUACGGAGGGCAGCAGUGGGGAAUAUUGGACAAUGGGCGAAAGCCUGAUCCAGCCAUGCCGCGUGAGUGAUGAAGGCCCUAGGGUUGUAAAGCUCUUUCACCGAUGAAGAUAAUGACGGUAGUCGGAGAAGAAGCCCCGGCUAACUUCGUGCCAGCCGCCGCCGUAA